RNAcentral lists this ribosomal RNA (582 nucleotides) under Phycisphaerales bacterium. RNAcentral describes it as "partial 23S ribosomal RNA". It matches the Rfam family "Bacterial large subunit ribosomal RNA", at positions 853 to 1433 of the family's 2925-position model. The record is from RNAcentral. Lineage: Bacteria; Pseudomonadati; Planctomycetota; Phycisphaerae; Phycisphaerales.
ACUCCUCGAAAUGUAUUUAGGUACAGCCUCGAGCCAUAGUCAGCAGCCGGUAGAGCACUGAUUGGGCUAGGGCCCUUCACCGGGUACCAAACCCAGACAAACUCCGAAUGGCAGUCUGAUGUUCCUCGGGAGUGAGGCGGUGGGGGAUAAGCUCCAUUGCCAAGAGGGAAACAACCCAGAUCGCCGUCUAAGGCCCCAAAGUCGAUGCUAACAGAGAAAGGAUGUUGCGUUACUGAGACAACCAGGAUGUUGGCUUAGAAGCAGCCACUCAUUUAAAGAGUGCGUAAUAGCUCACUGGUCAAGUGACGCAGCGCCAAUAAUGAUCGGGACUAAGCAUCGCGCCGAAGACGCGAGUUCUUCAUUCAUUUGAAGAGCGGUAGAGGAGCAUUCUGUGGGCGCCGAAGCGGGAAGGUGACUAACCGUGGAGCGCACAGAAGAGAAAAUGUUGGCAUAAGUAACGAUAACGGAAGUGAGAAUCUUCCGCGCCGAAAGUCUAAGGGUUCCUAUGCAACGUUCGUCGACAUAGGGUUAGCCGGCCCCUAAGGCGAGGCCGCAAGGCGUAGCUGAUGGGAAUCAGGUUCA